This is a non-coding RNA of Paramuricea clavata, 572 nucleotides long. Lineage: Eukaryota; Metazoa; Cnidaria; Anthozoa; Malacalcyonacea; Plexauridae. The record is from the annotation of a GenBank genome assembly.
GUGACGAGUUUCAAAUCAGCCAAUGAGAACACGAUUUUAUAUCCGGGACUUGAAUUUGCCCCCCAUUAGCUGCGUUCCCAAUUUUUAACUCGAUGCCUCCUCUAGUGUUAUUUAUAAUCUCUAUGACUACGAGUACGAGAUUCGUCAAGCGAAAACGCAUGCUGUAUGCUUACGCCAUCCCGUACGUACUGACGCGAAAAAGUCGUAGCCGUCGCCCAUCUGAGUACGAAAUUGUGGAGAAAUCUCGUAGUCCUUACGACGACUUUUCAAAAAAAAAAAGAAAGUUGGCUUUUUUUUGUUUACCAAAAAUAAUUUGUAGCAUUUAUAUAGCGUUUAUCCGGCGCAAAUAAUAUAUUAGUACUAAAUAUCUGGCCUGUUUUUAAUGUUAUGACUUAUUUACACGUUUUCUAGGGGAUUUUAGUCUGCAGGAGAUUUAGUUUAUGAAACGUUUCCUCUCGUUGUUGGUUUACUGCUACAAAAGCAACAUUUAAAUGGAAACGAAAACGACUACGGUGAUUCCUCGCACGCGAUUAAAUCUCGUACUCGUAGUCGUACUCGUAGUCAAAUCUAAA